ACGCACGCUGGCGGCGUGCCUAAUACCUGCAAGUUGAGCGAUGAAGAUUGGUGCUUGCCCCAAUUUGAAGAGCAGCGAACGGGUGAGUAACGCGUGGGGAAUCUGCCUUUGAGCGGGGGACAACAUUUGGAAACGAAUGCUAAUACCGCAUAACAACUUUAAACAUAAGUUUUAAGUUUGAAAGAUGCAAUUGCAUCACUCAAAGAUGAUCCCGCGUUGUAUUAGCUAGUUGGUGAGGUAAAGGCUCACCAAGGCGAUGAUACAUAGCCGACCUGAGAGGGUGAUCGGCCACAUUGGGACUGAGACACGGCCCAAACUCCUACGGGAGGCAGCAGUAGGGAAUCUUCGGCAAUGGACGAAAGUCUGACCGAGCAACGCCGCGUGAGUGAAGAAGGUUUUCGGAUCGUAAAACUCUGUUGGUAGAGAAGAACGUUGGUGAGAGUGGAAAGCUCAUCAAGUGACGGUAACUACCCAGAAAGGGACGGCUAACUACGUG
Molecule: ribosomal RNA, 496 nt
Filed under: uncultured bacterium
Lineage: Bacteria
Description: partial 16S ribosomal RNA
Rfam family: Bacterial small subunit ribosomal RNA
Source: RNAcentral